GGAAGGUUGUAGUGGAGCAUUGAAACACUUGACCUGAUAAAAUUAAAAACUAUUAGAUCCUUCAAACACCCUAAG
Molecule: small RNA, 75 nt
Filed under: Salix viminalis (osier)
Lineage: Eukaryota; Viridiplantae; Streptophyta; Magnoliopsida; Malpighiales; Salicaceae
Source: RNAcentral